UCGAGAAUUUUUCACAAUGGGGGAAACCCUGAUGGAGCGACGCCGCGUGGAGGAUGAAGGCCUUCGGGUUGUAAACUCCUGUCAUGCGGGAACAAGCAAGUGAUAGUACCGCAAGAGGAAGAGACGGCUAACUCUGUGCCAGCAGCCGCGGUAAUACAGAGGUCUCAAGCGUUGUUCGGAUUCAUUGGGCGUAAAGGGUGCGUAGGUGGUGACGUAAGUCUGGUGUGAAAUCUCGGAGCUCAACUCCGAAAUUGCACCGGAUACUGCGUGACUCGAGGACUGUAGAGGAGAUCGGAAUUCACGGUGUAGCAGUGAAAUGCGUAGAUAUCGUGAGGAAGACCAGUUGCGAAGGCGGAUCUCUGGGCAGUUCCUGACACUGAGGCACGAAGGCCAGGGGGAGCAAACGGGAUUAGAUACCCCGGUAGUCCUGGCAGUAAACGGUGCACGUUUGGUGUGGGCGGGUUCAGACCCCGUCCGUGCCGGAGCUAACG
Molecule: ribosomal RNA, 491 nt
Filed under: uncultured Verrucomicrobiota bacterium
Lineage: Bacteria; Pseudomonadati; Verrucomicrobiota
Description: bacterial SSU rRNA
Rfam family: Bacterial small subunit ribosomal RNA
Source: RNAcentral